Coffea arabica (coffee) is the source of this 1588-nucleotide non-coding RNA. NCBI's taxonomy places the organism in Eukaryota, Viridiplantae, Streptophyta, Magnoliopsida, Gentianales, Rubiaceae. The record is from RefSeq and is a predicted model, not a curated record.
GUCCCCAUUUCUAAAGCAUCCAUCGUUCGAGACGCUCAUAGCCGAAUAACACCGGUAAGUAUUUGGUGUCUACUUCUUUGCCUCAAGUUUUUUCAAAACUCAGACAAAGAGGGGCAAACUGUAGACACCAAAAAUUUCAUCAAUUCAAUCUUAACUGUAUUUAGCUUUAUUCAAUUUCUGACUCUCUUUGAUUCAAUUUUAGUUUUUAUCAUUAUUUAUUUAUUCUUGUUUCAUAUUUAUUAUUUUUAAUUGAUUUGAGGUUGCAAAUAGUAAUUGAUGUUUAUUCUUAUUUUAAUACAUUAAAAUUCAUCAUUUUCUUUUUAAAAGCAAUUUUACGCUAAAUUUUAGGAAAAAUCCUGAAUAAAGAUCCAUUUUAUUUUUUUAAAUUUGAUUUUUUCUUGCUAAGGCAUUUUGCAAGGUAAUUUUAGAAAAUUAGCAUAUUAAACAAGUGUGUCAAUUGCAUGUUGAACAAGUGUGCAAAUAAGCAUUAGACAAGUGGUUAAGGAAUGGUAGGACAAGUGUUUAGGGAGGGGUAGGUGUUUGAGACACCUGGAGGUCUAAGAGAGGAGAAAAGGUACGAAAGGCUAAAAAAAAUCGAAGGAAGCUCUCGGCUGGGGGGCAAGCGAGGGAAUGAAAAGGAAAAACAGGGGAAGGUUUUGGGCGGAGCUAAGGGAAGAAAAAACCAGAAAAACAGAGAAGGGGCUGCUAGCAAAAGGAAAAAGGCUGAAAGAAAAACAAAGCAAAAGAAAGAAAACAGGGGAGGAUUCGGCUAAGGAAAGGCUAAAGAACAGAGAAGGGGGCUGCGGAGAGUAAAGGGAACAGAAAACGGAGAAGAUAGCUGAGAGGAAUUUAGGAAGAGCAAGAAACGGAACUAAAAAAAAAAGAAACUGGCAGCCGAAAUCUGGAAUUUGGAGGAGGAAUUUCGGGCAGAGGCAAAGGAACUAAACGCAAAGUGAGGAAACAAAGACCAGGAGGUCCGCCGCAAUCCGAGCUCCGCCACGGCACCUCCACCUCGUGCGCCACCUUUCUUCUCCAGCGCGACCAACAAGCAGCCAACCGCUUGCCCAAGCCACCUCCAGGCCGCACUCGUCGUUGUUGCUGUAUGCUACUCUCCACCUCUGCUGCCGCCUUUCAACUCCCACUGCCGUUGCUGCCACCGUAGCCAUCAAAGCAGCAGGGGCUUCUACUGCCAUCUCCACAGAGCCGUCUACCGUCAGCGCCACCCCCCCAGAUUCAAUUCGACUUCAGAAUUUAUAGCCCUGAAGGCUAAAUGGCCACUGAUAUUCUUUUAAUCUGCAACGGCUUAAUAUGAAUGACUGGGUUGCAUUGAUCAAAGGGGGUUUGAGUUUGUUAAAAAGUUUUGUUUGCUCCGCAUCUGUUUCGUGUGGUUCCUGGGGUGAGUUACCGAAGAAAGAAAUGAAAAAAUUGCAAGAGAACUUCGAGCAGGAUGCAUGAUACUUUCUGAAUUUUUUUAUUUUAGCCCCAACUUUUGUCCAAUUGCAUUACGGCCCAGAAACAUUUGUAAUUGAACGAUUCACAUCCCUAUUGGAUGCUCAUCUCCUCUUGAUAUUUUAGGUGCAUUUCUAAA